CGACUCCUACGGGAGGCAGCAGUGGGGAAUAUUGCACAAUGGGGGAAACCCUGAUGCAGCAACGCCGCGUGAGUGAAGAAGUAUUUCGGUAUGUAAAGCUCUAUCAGCAGGGAAGAAAAUGACGGUACCUGACUAAGAAGCCCCGGCUAACUACGUGCCAGCAGCCGCGGUAAUACGUAGGGGGCAAGCGUUAUCCGGAUUUACUGGGUGUAAAGGGAGCGUAGACGGUGCAGCAAGUCUGAUGUGAAAGGUCGGGGCCCAACCCCGGGACUGCAUUGGAAACUGUUGAACUGGAGUACAGGAGAGGUAAGCGGAAUUCCUAGUGUAGCGGUGAAAUGCGUAGAUAUUAGGAGGAACACCAGUGGCGAAGGCGGCUUACUGGACUGUAACUGACGUUGAGGCUCGAAAGCGUGGGGAGCAAACAGGAUUAGAUACCCUAGUACC
This 444-nucleotide ribosomal RNA is filed under the name uncultured bacterium. RNAcentral describes it as "bacterial SSU rRNA". It matches the Rfam family "Bacterial small subunit ribosomal RNA", at positions 333 to 794 of the family's 1533-position model. The record is from RNAcentral.